Molecule: ribosomal RNA, 445 nt
Filed under: uncultured bacterium
Lineage: Bacteria
Description: partial 16S ribosomal RNA
Rfam family: Bacterial small subunit ribosomal RNA
Source: RNAcentral
GUGAGGAAUAUUGGUCAAUGGGCGAGAGCCUGAACCAGCCAAGUCGCGUGAAGGAAGACGGCCCUACGGGUUGUAAACUUCUUUUGCAAUGGAAUAAAAAGAGUUACGUGUAAUUCAUUGUAUGUACAUUGCGAAUAAGGAUCGGCUAACUCCGUGCCAGCAGCCGCGGUAAUACGGAGGAUCCGAGCGUUAUCCGGAUUUAUUGGGUUUAAAGGGUGCGUAGGCGGAUUGGAAAGUCAGCGGUGAAAGUUUGCAGCUUAACUGUAAAAUUGCCAUUGAAACUGUCAGUCUUGAGUGCAAAUGAGGUAGGCGGAAUGUGUUGUGUAGCGGUGAAAUGCAUAGAUAUAACACAGAACACCAAUUGCGAAGGCAGCUUACUGGGAUGCAACUGACGCUGAGGCACGAAAGCGUGGGGAUCAAACAGGAUUAGAAACCCUUGUAGUCC